RNAcentral lists this small RNA (924 nucleotides) under Pongo abelii (Sumatran orangutan). RNAcentral describes it as "retained intron". The record is from RNAcentral. Lineage: Eukaryota; Metazoa; Chordata; Mammalia; Primates; Hominidae.
UCUGUCCCGCCGCGCCACUUCGUCUUCCUCAGUCCCGCCGCUCGCCGCGCCACUUCGCCUGCCUCUGUCCCGCCGCCAGCCGCGCCAUGCCCGUCGCCGGCUCCGAGCUGCCGCGCCGGCCCUUGCCGCCCUCCGCACAGGAGCGGGACGUCGAGCCGCGUCCGCCGCACGGGGAGCUGCAGUACCUGGGGCAGAUCGAGCACAUCCUCCGCUGCGGCGUCAGGAAGGACGACCGCACGGGCACCGGCACCCUGUCGGUAUUCGGCAUGCAGGCGCGCUACAGCCUGAGAGAUGAAUUUCCUCUGCUGACAACCAAACGUGUGUUCUGGAAGGGUGUUUUGGAGGAGUUGCUGUGGUUUAUCAAGGGAUCCACAAAUGCUAAAGAGCUGUCUUCCAAGGGAGUGAAAAUCUGGGAUGCCAAUGGAUCCCGAGACUUUUUGGACAGCCUGGGAUUCUCCACCAGAGAAGAAGGGGACUUGGGCCCAGUUUAUGGCUUCCAGUGGAGGCAUUUUGGGGCAGAAUACAGAGAUAUGGAAUCAGAUUAUUCAGGACAGGGAGUUGACCAACUGCAAAGAGUGAUUGACACCAUCAAAACGAACCCUGACGACAGAAGAAUCAUCAUGUGCGCUUGGAAUCCAAGAGGUCAAAAGAACCCCAUUGUCUUCAUUUAUACUAACCAUACUCUUAGAGGGAAGCAAUGUGGUUUUGUGCAAAGGCACCUGAGGGAGGCAGGACCCUGGGAACUUCCCCCAGCCACAUGGUUGAUUGUGUGACCUUGGGCAAGUCACAUUUUGCUGCACUUUCACCUUCAGAUCAUGAGGUUGGGCCCAGAGGAUUUUUUUUUUUUUUUGAGACAGAGUUUUGCUCUGUCGCCCAGGCUGGGAUGCAACAGCGCGAUCUUGGCUCAUUGUAACCUCUGCCUCC